Molecule: ribosomal RNA, 274 nt
Filed under: uncultured bacterium
Lineage: Bacteria
Description: partial 16S ribosomal RNA
Rfam family: Bacterial small subunit ribosomal RNA
Source: RNAcentral
AUACGAAGGGGGCUAGCGUUGUUCGGAAUUACUGGGCGUAAAGCGCGCGUAGGCGGAUUGGUCAGUUAGGGGUGAAAUCCCAGGGCUUAACCCUGGAACUGCCUCUAAUACUGCCAGUCUUGAGUUCGGGAGAGGUGAGUGGAAUUCCUAGUGUAGAGGUGAAAUUCGUAGAUAGUAGGAAGAACACCAGUGGCGAAGGCGGCUCACUGGCAAGAUACUAACGCUGAGGCGCGAAAGCGUGGGGAGCAAACAGGAUUAGAAACCCUAGUAGUCA